CUAGGCCACACUUCCUGGGUGUGGCCACAGGUGCUCCAGGAGUCACUCAAGUCUGGGGUCAGAAGGCACCCCUUCUCCUGUUUUACAGGCCAGGACAUUAUUGUUACACCUGUGAGAAGCCGAUCUGCUGGGCUCGGCACAUAACAUGGAGGAGGCAUGAUGACAUCUCCUUUUUCUUUCCGUGAGGGUUUAAUUCACACACCUCCAAGGACUGAACCUAAGAGGGUAGAGGAAGUUUUUGCUCUCCAACAACACAUCCAAGAGUCUACCACCCAUAUCAAGAAGUAGAAUAUCAUCAUAUCCUAGAAGCCCUGCCCUGUGUGCCCCUUCUGUAACACAUCCUGAUCCCAAGAACAUGGUGUUCCCAAGCACCUGCUCUUCUUACUUCAGGCCAUCACCCAAGAUGCUCCCCACAGCAGUUUAAGAGAUGAGCUCGGGGCCGGCCCAGUGGCGCAGCGGAUGAGGAAACUGAGGCAGAGCCGUUAAGAAGUAACUUGCUCCAAGUCCCACAGCCAGUGAGAGGGGCGCCAGGAUUCAAACCAGGCAGAGUCUAGAAUCCUGC
Molecule: long non-coding RNA, 562 nt
Filed under: Equus asinus (donkey)
Lineage: Eukaryota; Metazoa; Chordata; Mammalia; Perissodactyla; Equidae
Description: lncRNA (ENSEASG00005029585.1)
Source: RNAcentral